Long non-coding RNA from Bactrocera latifrons, 1768 nucleotides. RefSeq lists it as uncharacterized. The record is from RefSeq and is a predicted model, not a curated record. The transcript is spliced from 4 exons. Lineage: Eukaryota; Metazoa; Arthropoda; Insecta; Diptera; Tephritidae.
AAUGUGCGUUUUUUGCUUACUUAUAUCUAAAAAACAAAUUAACAUUUAACAAUAAAUUUACAUUUAAACCAAAGUUUAAUUCAUUGGCUAUCCGUGCUAUAUAAAUUUAAAAAAAUCCGUGCACGCAUUUAAGAGGAAUAAGCAGUGAAAAGGGGAUACUAAAACGAACCCAACCCGGACUAUGUAACAAUGUCCUAAGUUCUUCAAUAAGACAUUUUGUACAAGGGUGUCAUGCUGUUGAUCAGAAACGAAAAAGUUACUUUGCGGGUCGCCAUUUGCAAUGUUUGGAUGCUAUAAUCGCAGCUCGGAUGGUUUUCUCUUCGUAGUUACCUGCGGUGUUAAUUUCGUGUGGUUAAAUAUAUAACUCAGUUCACAGAUCCGUUCAAAGUUAUUCUGCUUCAUGUUAAAUGGCUUCGACUACAGCACAUAUUCCCUUAACAAAUAAAAACUUAUAAAACCGACGACAUAUUGCACAAAAGGAAAAAAACAACAAUGUCAAAUGAUUCGUUAGUGCUUCAAAAUGUGUGAAGAUAUCUCCACGACACAAAUAUACCUGCCACCGCUCUCCGUACACAAAUUCUGGUUUCAUUGGUAAUUUAGUUACCUUUUGCGGAUUCUUAGAUCAACGACUGUUCCACUGGAAUAAUGCGUAUAAAUUUUGAAAAACUAUUUUCUUGCAAUAAACGAUGAAAAUUACCGUGCGAAAUACGAAUCGUGCCAUAGUGUCCUUUUCCUCUUGUAUUUCGAAUAAGUAAAGCUGCUACGAUUUUUCAGGAAUCAAUGGGAAUUUAUGAGACCUUAAAACACAGCCUUGGCAAAAAUUGCAAUAGAAAUAUAUCAAUUUCAAAUAUAUAAAUAAUGUAUUUAGAGGCGUCCACGAAAUAAAAUUGUAAGCCGAAAAUGCUAAUUUGCGAACUAUUUUCAACGAAUAGCCAGUAUAAUGGCAAAAGAAAACAAAUGUAGUACCAAAAGUAAGCUUGCGAAACUAUAUAUAGUAUCUAAAUCAGUAACCAUUCGACAAGGCAUAUAAUACAAAGUAUUUAUUAAUUGAUAAACAAUAUUACAAUAACGUAACACUACUUCGAACAUUGCUGGAAUAUUGAAAUGUAAACCGCAUCGAGUUUGCAUCACUUAUGGUAUGUUAGCAACAGCUACAUAUGUAUGUCACUUAUAUGCAUAUACAUAUACAUAUGUAUGUAUGUAUAUUUAUUGCAGCACUAAAAGUGAGAAGAACAAAAGACAAUUAUUUGUUAAUUUGCAUAUUUCGAGAUAUGCAUUGGAAAGUAAAUCGUAAAUUUUUGUUAAUAAAGUGAAAAUGUAAACAUAUGUGCUAUUUGACACUAUUCGCUUGAAUUUAGAAGAGAAACUUGAUAAAAUCAAUUUCUGAGCUAUAUAAAUUACUUUUAAUCAGGUUUAUUACAUUGAAUAUUAUGGCAGUUUGCUACUAAUUGAAAAUUUAUUCUUAUGAUCGAUCCAGCCUAAGUCGGAGCUACUGAUUACUAUCAAGGCAAUAGUUUUUAUUGUAGGUGCGUACGUCAUCAUGCGAUAUCCUUGAUGCGCUCUUGCAUUUUUUUUUUUUUUUGUAUACGUGUUGGCAUUGGUGAUGACAAUCAUGAUUAUGUUGAUAAUAUGCAAAUGCAUAAGAUAACCCAUCGCACACAACAGACAACAUCAUCUAUCUCUGUUAAGUUUGCCAGUUUAACAGCUAUGUAUGUAAGUUAAUGGUUGCCACCAAAUAAUUAAUUAAUCGCUCUUUUGAAUUGUAAAG